Molecule: small nuclear RNA, 85 nt
Organism: Oryctolagus cuniculus (rabbit)
Lineage: Eukaryota; Metazoa; Chordata; Mammalia; Lagomorpha; Leporidae
Gene: U2
Rfam family: U2 spliceosomal RNA
About the family: U2 is a small nuclear RNA (snRNA) component of the spliceosome (involved in pre-mRNA splicing). Complementary binding between U2 snRNA (in an area lying towards the 5' end but 3' to hairpin I) and the branchpoint sequence (BPS) of the intron results the bulging out of an unpaired adenosine, on the BPS, which initiates a nucleophilic attack at the intronic 5' splice site, thus starting the first of two transesterification reactions that mediate splicing.
Source: Ensembl
AUCGCUUCUCGGCCUUUUGGCUAAGAUCAAGUGUAGUAAUGUGUUUUAGGUGAGUAUUCAGUGUUAGACCACAUUUAAAACCUCU